This is a long non-coding RNA of Passer domesticus (house sparrow), 1431 nucleotides long. RefSeq lists it as uncharacterized. The record is from RefSeq and is a predicted model, not a curated record. Lineage: Eukaryota; Metazoa; Chordata; Aves; Passeriformes; Passeridae. The transcript has 2 exons.
GCUAUCCAGAAGGGACCUUUAAAUAGACAAUUUCAAGGCUUCAUCACAGGGUCCUGCAAUACCUCCACAGGGCUCACAAGAGCAGCAAACUUGGUCCAUCAGCUGGUUGGUGACAGGGGCUUAGCAGAACCUGAGUAGAUGGCCUAAAGCACACAAACAAGAACAGAGGCUUAGAGUGGCACCAGAAAUUGAGACCCCUGCAAUAACAACUGCUUCUGCCCACUGCUCACCUUGCCCACUUGAACUGAACUGUUGCUAUAUGCCUUUACUUCCUAAAAUAAAGAAAAAGAAAAAUGCUGUAACAGAGUCACCAUUUACACUCCCCCUGCAGAGACAAACUGCUGGGACUGACCUGCUCAGGGGAACUCACUCACCUGGGAUGGGGUGCUCCGCCAUGGAUUUUAUCCACCUGCAUCUGAAAGAAAGUCAGGACAAAAGUCAGAGGGCUGCAGGACAACUUCACAGCUCCAGACACCUUGGGUCAACCUAGGAAUACCAUCUAGAGUCCAACUACACCCCACACUACAAAUUUCAAGCCCCCAGGAUUUGUCCUAUCACACCAGACUAUGCAGCAGGGCAGAGCAGCUCCAACACAAAUAUGUGCAGACACCCGUGACACAGGACAGGACAAACAAUGGGGACACAACAGGGACAGAAAUCUCUUGGCAAGAGGAAUGACUGCAAGGACCGAGAGAAUGCAAAAUGAAAUGACUGAGGUGAGACCAAUGGUGAGCUGACGAUGCUCAGAGAGCCCUGGAGGAAGAAGAUGCUAACGGAUUUAUUUCUUCCAAGAACUGCAAAGAUGGAUGCCUGUAAAUCCUGCAGUCAGCAUCCUCUACCUAUGCGCAUAUUCAAGAAGACAUCACAGAUGCUAAGAAUGAUGCCAGUUUUUUGAACGACUCCUCAAAGGGCUACAGUGAAAGACAUGAGACACGCGAACACAUACAAUCUUAUGAACUCCAGGACAUUACAGCCCAUGGCUAGAAAAGAUGGAUGGUGAUAUGGCUGGGAGCAAGGCCUCAGAACAUGUCCUACUCGACGCUUCUGCGAUGUGACUCGGAAACACGGCCGAGCCCGCCAGUAAAAGAACAAAUGAUAUUGGCAUCAUACAGAGAAGUGCGAGUGUUCAAGAACCUACGGCUGAUGCUUGUGGUAAGGGCCUCGAGGGGAAAGAGGCAGAGAUAUCUGAUCCGAGGGACCCCAAAGACACACUAGGUAACACAGUAUACACCGGACAACACAACACAGACUGGAACUGUUCUGCACUGCGCACCCUACAGCUGUUAGCAAAGGCGGUGGCCCCCAACUUAUCUUUUGGAUGACCGGUGAUGUGAGUCCACGCUGGACCUGAAAUGAGUAUGCCUCAGAGCACCUCUGCCACAAUCGCCUGUUAACCUCUCAGUCAGCUGCAAUAAAGUAAACCAAAAACAA